CGAGAGGGACCUAAAGGGGCUACGGGAAAGCUGGAGAGGGGCUUUGGACAAGGGCCUGUAGGGACAGGCCAAGGGGAAUGGCUUUAACCUGCCAGAGGGGAGACUGAGAUGAGCUCUUGGGCAGAAGCUCUUCCCUGUGAGGGUGCUGAGGCGCUGGCACAGGGUGCCCAGAGAAGCUGUGGCUGCCCCAUCCCUGGCAGUGUUCAAGGCCAGGUUGGACACAGGGGCUUGGAGCAAGCUGCUCCAGUGGAAGGUGUCCCUGCCUGUGGCAGUGGUUGGAGCUGGGUGAGCUUUAAGGUCCCUUCAAGCCAAACCAGGCUGGGAUUCUGUGAUUCUAUGAAUUAGACAAGAAGAAAUUGUGUACUGCAAAAAAGUAAUUUUAGGUUUUAUCAGAAAUUCACUCAGUUAAUCUUCCUGUAAUCACGGAUGUGGUUAAUUAUAUAUGGGAAAUGGUAUAAGUGGGAAACAUUUGUGAACGGGAAUGUGUAAAAUAUGCAUUAAGAUGCAGUUGCAGUUUGAGCUAUGCAUGAACUUGCCCUCACCCCUUGGUGGUGGUCGAUCUUACUCUGUGACUGCCCAUGCUCCCAGAGGCCUCCCUGGGCUUAUAUGUGCUGUAUGUCUGUGUGUUUCAGUGGCGUUGCAAUAGGAGAUGGCAGAGUUCCCAACCAAGAGCAUGCCAUGCCAGCAUGAGAAAAGGAUAGACUUCAUAUUCUCCUUUCCCUGGUGGUUUCCUUCAGAAGUAUGGCUAUUGCUGGUCCUGUGCUCAUUCCAGCUGAACAAUGUGAAUUUCUUCUUCAUUUCUUCGUUCCACCAGCAGGAAUUCUUGGUCAUUCCGGCAGUUCGUUUCUCUUUGCAGAAUAUGGUGUUCUCUUUGCUGGUAAUUCCUGUUAGGAACUCGUAGUUCUAGUUCAGUUUUAUCCAUGUUUUAUGCUAGAAUGGCUGCAAGUUUGGCUCCAAGUGUGGCUUUUCAGGAGAUCUGUAAUCAUUCUCUUUCAUCAGGCUGAGUGCUUGCUUCAAACUGCCAGAUUUCUUUUGGUUUUCCAUAGCUUUUAUUUUGUUGUAGUGUCAUAUGGGACACAAAUCCUUUAUCCUUUUCACCCCAGAUUUGGCUUAAUACCUUAAUUACAAAGUCAUUGAGUUGUCUCUUUUAGUAAAUGUGUCUCUAAUUGUCUCGUGCUAGUAGGCUGGUAUUUGCUAAGCUACUACAGUUUGUUUGGGGAUGAAAAUGACAUGCAAAAUAGAAAUAUCAGCAUCUCCACUCUAUAAUCUUGCCUUAAUUUUCUUGCUCAUCAAGUUGAUAUCAGUAAUUAAUGCUCCAAAAACUAACACUGCAUUUGUUGGUAUUGGUUCAUCCAGGAUCUUCUCAGCUAAUCACUGUAUUUUUAGUGCUGUUUAGUCCUAAUUUCCUUCCAGGUCCCUAGCCGUUUGGUGUGUGAAACUCUGUCUUUUCUGCAACUGGCAAUUCAAUAGCAGAGCUAAUCCGGUUUGAUUCAUAUCAUGAGGGUGCCACAGGAGCUGAGCAACAUCUGUUGAACCAUUGCUGCACAUUUGUGUCUUUUACUUUGGAGAAGAACCAAACACAGAUGAGAUGGGAGGGGAGUUUUGAGACAUGAGGAAGAUGACUGUCCAGAGCAAGACAAGUUGAGAGAUCUUUGUUGUGGAUCUGAGCUGUUGUGGAGUAAUGUGACUGAGGGAUUAAAUGUCACAGAGAGAAAUGACGUGAACUAUGCAGGCAGGAGGACAGUCACUGUAUUGGGAAACAGACAACAAAUGCAGGAUCAAUGCUAAAGACGGGAAAGCUAAAUUUCCAAACAUCUCCUCUGGGCCACAUUCAAAGACCUGAGCUGACUCCAACUGCUGAAUCCGUAGGGAGGUUUUCAACACAGCCUGAAGCACUUGGACAUUGGAGCUGGGCAAGAAGGGCGAGGGAGAGAAAUUCAAGCCCUCCCCGCUUCCCUUUGGUAAAUCAGGAGCACAUCCCUUACAGAUUUACUUGGUUGUGCCAAUUUAAUGUGAUUUCUUCUGAGGGCCAGGAACUACUCAAGGAAGGCUGACAGGUUUUAUCAACAGAAUGGAAACUGAAGUGAUAAGGUGAGAGUUACUGACCUGAUAACUAACAAACAGAAAACUUCAGUGUCCCUCAAGCUAAAUAUUGCACUCAGCAGGUAAGUAAAAGAUGGCAACAGCUGUGGUCUUGUCACUGAGAGAGAGUGUGGUUUAGUGUAGAGGAGCAGGAGGUGAACUGUGACAACAAACACAUUCAGUUUGCUACAGACUAUUUCCCUCUAUUACUUUUAAUGAGAGCUAAACUCCAAAAUGCACAAUGGGACAAUAAUAUUUUAGAUAGAAGGAACUCUUCGUACAGCUCCUAAAUUCUAGACACCCGGUUGCAAUUAAAAUCAUUGCUUGUGUAUUAUUAAUAGCUCACCAGUAGUUUAAGGCUGUUAUCAGGUAUGGGACCAAUUGGUGCUGGCCAGCACACAGCUGAAUGAAGAGUAGUGCUGUCCUUGAAGGAGCUGAGUUAACAACCUGAACCCACAGUGCCCAGAGGAGUUUGAAAAAUGAGGGAAACGUGGACAGGAGCUGUGUUGAAUGCAGCACUGUGGAAGCUGGCAAAGCAACAUGGCUGGGUUGCUGUAGUCAGAUGUUAGUGAAUGCUGCCUAAGUGGGGUUUCAUUUAGUUAAAUUCUGAAAUUGCAGUGUGGGAAGGGCAGAUUGGAAAGGAAGCAGAGACCUCUAAUAAACGCUGAUUUACAAGUAAUGGGCACAAAAAGUGCUGCAAGUACGGCAGUUUGUUGUUCUUGCUUUUUUCCCUUAUAUUUUUUCUUUUCCUGAGAACAUGCCGGGGUUGUGUAUGAAACCUGGUUGUCACAAGUCUCACACAUCCCUUGAAAUUCCUGUCUGACAGAAUAUGAAGGCUGCAGCAGCUGAACAAAAAGGCGCGCGACAGAGCUCUUGUAUGAUGUCCGUCUCCCCUUUCUGGCACCUGGCCUGUUCAGUACAAUUGGGAAAGACAAAUGGCAAGUGAUUGCUUCCUAUUCAACUUCUGCAAGCUAAUUUUGUUUUUCACAUGGCAGCAGUUUUGUACUCACCACGUUUGUCAUUCUGCCAUGUAUUUUUUCUUCUCCCUGUUGCAGUUCCUUUCCUGUUACAGUUCCUUUCCUUUAUAAGGUAAGGGCACCAGAACUACAUUUGGUAUUUGAGAAGCAGACGCACCAUGAAUUCAUAGAGUGGCAAAGUCAUACUUUUCUCUCCUAAGAAUUCUGAGCUUUUGCUUUUCUUUUUCUGCCUGCUGUUGAGCACCAAGGUGAUAUAUUCAUAGAACUAGCCAUUAGAAUGUCAGGAUGCAUUUGCUAAAUUGUGCAAACCAGUUCAGAGCCCAUCAUUCUGUGUGAAGUGAGUGUUGUUUUUUGUGUAUAGGUAGAUUAUAGCUGUCAGGGCUGAAAUUUAUCUCCUGCUUUAUCAUGAGGCUUACUCAAUGUCAUGAGAUCUUUAAGGUUUGGUAGUAAAUAUUAUCCUAAUUAAUUGAUGUUUUCUCAGAAAUCUUCACUGUUCCACCUACUUUCCAGGUCAUUUCUGAACACAGUGAACACCAUAGACCUUAAUCCCCAUGGGAGUCCACUGAUGAUCAUCCUCUACUGUGAAAACUCAUCCUACAGUCUAAUCUUUUUUUCCCCCAGUAUUAUUUAACUCUGUGAGGGCCUUACCUGUAGUCCCUGGCUUUUUAGUUUAUUAAAAAGCCUUUGAUGAGACCUUCAGUGCCUGAAGUUUCUGGAAGCUUGGUGUGAGCUGGAAAUGCAAGGGAAAUUUCUCAGCUGGAUCUCUGUUAUUUACAUGCUUUUGACUCCUUCAGAGAAUUCCAGCAGAUUUAGGAGGCUCAGAUUCCUUUCACAAAAGUCAUGUUUACUUAUCCUUAAUGUGUUACUUUUAUUCAUGUAUUCAGUCAUUCUGUUCUUUACUAGAGCUUCAGCCAAUACGACCGAUAUGGACAUUAGACUUAGUGGUCUGUGGGUUCUUGAAUCACCACUGGAUUUCUUUUUAAAAACUGAUUUGUUAUUAGUUACCUUCCAUCCCUUUGGUAAUCACAGCAAUUUUCAGCAAAAGGUUACAUACUAAGGGGAUUAGCUCAGAUGAUUCAUAUUUAACAUUCUGUAAAGAUCUUGCAUGAAUCUCAGCCACUGAUAUGUUGUUAUUCAGUUUGUCUGGUUGUAAUCUACACUUAACAACCUUAAAUUAAGACAAGCCUGUUGUGAAUGUCUUAUAAACAGGGUCCUGGCCUCAGAGUUUCUCUGAGGUUCUCCAGGUGAAGAGAGAUGUAAAAAGAAGAGUUUGUAAUCUUUUGCGGUGGCAUUAUCUUUUCUGAGUGCUUCUCUCAUACCUGGCUCUUGCAAGCUUCAUGCUCUUGAUGUGUUCCAAGAAGGAUUUCUUGGACUUUUUUAUUUCUUUAGCAAAUAGCUUCUAAAUUCUUUCUUCAGUCUAUGUUAUUGUGCUUUUACAUUUAGUCUGCCAGGAUUUAUGUUCUUUUUAGUUUUCCUUUUUCAGACACCACUUCAGCUUUUUGCAGAGUACGUUUUAACUUCCAACAGCCUCCCUGAUCCCGCUGUUUUGUGCUUUUUGUUUUUCUCUCAAGUCUUUUUUGACAGGUCAUAUGCAUUUGCUUUGAGCCUCCAAUAUAGGAUCCUAAAAUAGUCUACCUGCCAUCUGAAAAUGUUUUACCUUUCUGGCUGCCACUCUGAGUGUUGUUUUUGUUUUUUUUAAGAAAUUUCCCCAUUUUUGAAUUCCCAUUCUCUGGAAUCAAGCGCAGCUGCUGCAUUUGCCAACAUUUCUUCAUUUCAGAAUAUGUAGUCAUGAAUCAGAUAAAAGGAUUAAGGGUUUGGGCCUAGCCCAGUCUCUAGGAAGCCUGGAGAUAUUUGUCAUUAACUUUUCACUUAUGUUAAUGUCACUAAUUUCAUUAACUGAGAAACAGGGAAGGAAAUGGCUUUGCCAGGGCUGGAGAUGAUGGGACUUCCUGCCCUGGAACUUCAGCUGCUUUCUCCAACCUACAACAGAGAAAAUGAUGGCAAUGCUGGAAGCACAACCAUUUAAUUUGAUGGAUUCUGUCAGAAGCUCAGCUUUAGCUGGUUCUGCUCAAUAUUGGUAAUUGAUUAUAAUUAUUUGAAAAGGCAGCAUUGCUUUCCCUUGGCACCGUGAGAAGUAGUUGUGACUAAGAAGCAGACAUGCUAGCCAGCUGCCCUGCCUGGCCAAUGCAUCUUAAACUGUUUUCAGUGCUGCUGGGGAGAUGGCUGGAGAUAACAGGCUGAACUGUUCUAACAGAGAUGUUAGCAAGAUGAUGGAUAAUCACUGAAAUGAAUAAUCUGGGGAAGGUUUUAAGUACAUCUCUUCCAAUGUCAGAAUGGAUGUAGAUAGUUCUGGUCCUGCUUUUGUGCCAGGGCUUGGACGGGGUGCUAACAGCAGCAGCAGUGAUCUGACAUCUUCUAUAUGGAUCUGGAAUGGAGAGGUCCAAGAUACAUACAAUUUUGUCUAAAAUUGUAGGGGUUUCUAUGGCAGUGGAAUGGGUGACUCUGGCACCAACAGCUCUAAUCUAGACUCUUGAGUCUGAGAGUGGUGGUGCCAAAUGAUUACAAACCCUUUUGCCCACUGCGCUGGUUGGAAAAGAAAAUCAAGAUACAAAGAUUUUACUGAAUUACUGUUUGAGGACUAAUUAUUAAAAUGGUUUUUGAUUAAUGAGUUGUGAGUGAAGCUAGUUUGGCAAAUAGCAUUUUGAUAAGGUAUUUGCAAGACAGAUAGUCUUAAGAUGGUGUGAUGAACGUAAAACACUCUAACCUUAAUGAUGAAGUUAAUGCAGAAAUGAUGUAAAUGUGCAUGAGUAAUUACUGUAUGAAGUCACUGGGGUACAUCAGGACAAAUUGAGUACAGACAAACUCUAAUCAGCACAGAAUCAUUGCAAAGUGAAGCUGGAAGCAAUCUCAGGUAAUCAGUUGUUCCAUCUCCUUCUUCCAUAACAGAAUCAGAUCUCUCAUGACAUUCUUGGCUUCUUUCUCUUCCAUUUUUGUUGCAGACUUUUAUCUGCUCCAAGACUGUUACUGCACCUGACUCUGUCAGGCCUGCUAUUGCAUCUCUCCGUGGUCUUCUCUUUUGAGCAUCUCUUGUUCUAAGUCUCUUGAUUCAGGACAUGUUUUCCAGACCUCUAACUGUUACCAGUUUUCUUGCUGCUUAGUCUUUCAGCCUUUCUUGAGGAGUGGUACCAAAGACCGGAUGUUCCUCUGCACUGAGGCGUUACAAAUACUGAGUACAGCAAAAGGACAGGCAAGAUGUCUUGCAGUAAACCAGUGGAAACUACUCUCAGAGUGUGGAUUCCAGCCUGAUUUGUGUCAUGACUUCAGCCAGGGCAUUCUUGCACUCAUCAGUGUUGUGUGGGCCUCAGUGACAUUGAGAUUAGAAGCUCUGGCCUCAGCCUGCUCUGGGUGUGUGCUGUGAGCGCCAUGUGGGCAAUGAAGACAGUAGCUGAAGCAAUUACUGAAGCAUUAGUGACUACCCUGGAAGCUCUCAGAAGGCAGUGAAGCCUCAUUACAUUAAAUGGGAGAUCAAACAGAGUGUAUUACAACUUCCACUGUGUGCUGGUUUGUUUAGUGCAUCACUUCUUUGCAGGUUGAAAACAUCACAGGAUGGAGCCAGCAGUGCUGUGGUUGAGGGGAAGCAAAGGACACAGCUGAGGACUGGAGGCAGCAGCCACAUCCUGGAGCAGUUUGUUGCUGUGAUUGUGCCAGGGCUGCUGUGCCUCUGGAGCUGGAGGAAGAGUGCAGAGAUGAUGCUGUUUUGCUGCAGUAAAACAUCAGAAGUCCCUGGUGAGCAGCGCAGCCUUGAUGCUAUGGGGACCAAGGGAAGAUGCAUGCAUGGGAGAAGAUGCCAGGCAAGUGCUGAGUGAUCAAAGCUGAGCCCCAAAGAGGCUUUGACAUCUGGUACCCCAUUCCUGGUGGGUUGGUUGUGCCCAAAGGUCGAGGCAGGGGGACUGGAGGGGAUCCCUUGCUGCUAGCCAGAGGCGUGGUGAUCCCAGGUGAUCCUGCAGGGUCCCCCAUGACUGAGGUGAUGGCAGAGGGCUGUUUUCAGGGCUCUGCUGUGAAAGCAGAGAGCUGCACUACAGAGGCAGAGCUGGACUGUGCUGUCCCCAUAGGAAAGGCUGAUGUAGGUCAAACAAGUAGGAGCACAGGUAAAUCUGAGCUGAAAAGUUAGUUUGAGGAACACCCAGAAGACCUGAUGCUUACCUGAAGAGGUAUGAGGGCUGCAGGGGUCAGCUGCUGAGCUGAGGCUGUUUGGAGUGAGUAGUGGCUGGCUUUUGGACCGAGAUCAUCUUUAUGGUGCUGGGAUUGCCUGUGGGCAUGUUCUAUAGGUCUGUCUGGGACUGAAGGUGCAGCUGGUUCAGCCUUCCCUUGUCAGAUGCUCUUCAUUGUAGAUAAAAGCUUUUUCUGAUCAUUCUAGUUCCCAUGGCUGGGAAGGGGUUUAUAAAUGGCAAAGGCUGUCCUGUGGGUCAGCUCUUUGGGAAGUCUCUCAUCUGUCUAUCCCAGGAGCAGGUUGGCAAACCAUCCUCCUUACUUAAAUGUGCUGGCAAGAACAAGCAUCUCUGUGCUUGAACUUCAGCCCACUCAAGGUGGCAGUUCCUGUGGCUGCCCUGUGCUUUUGGAUGAGCUUUGGGAUUUGCCCAUCUGUGGCUGAAGCUCUAACUCUUGCUGGGUAUAGAGAAGUGAGUCCCAGGGCUUGGCUGGGGGCUGCUGGAGCUGCACAAAUCCAGUGCACGCAUCUGCAUGCCUGACCCUGCUUUGGUUAAAGCAGGGGAUUGAGUCCUAUUGUUUGUAGAUAAAAGCUUUCUAUUUCUGCUAUUUCUCUGUUUUCCUAAGUGCUUAUUGCUAAGAAUAACUGCUAUUUCACCUCUUGCCCGCCCUCCAUCAGCUGCUUGGAGCCACCAUUUUAGACGUCAUCUCGAGCUGCAAAGAGUAAGUGAUCUUGUUUUCCAGAGGCCCUGUUUGAAGGAGCAGGAACUGGAUUUUGCCUUCAUUUGCUCUUUAAGGAGCUGCCACAGGAGGAAAGGGCCUGUGUUUGCCAGUUCCUCACAGCCCUUGCUGAGAAGCUGCACCACAGCAAGCGCUGAGAAGGAAUCAAGCAUGCUGGCAUCACACUGGGCUAGUUUUCCUCUUGGAAAUCAAAAGUGGAGCAAAGCCACAACUGAGACAAGCUUGUCCCACAGCUCCUGCAUCAGAAAGAGCUUGUUACUGUGCUAGUGGAGCUAAAAGGGCUGUCUCAGUGUUGCAACUCUUAUUUCGUUGCAGGGGCAAGGGCCCAGCAAACACAGCUCCAGCUGGGAAAAUGAGAUGUGAGGGCUCCCAGCUUCUUCCCAGCAACCUUCUCUGCUAAUAACUGCAGGGAAACCAAAACAAUACAAAUAACCUGGCUUUGGCUGCUAAAAUCCAGGUAAAGCAAAGCAGUGAAAAGCUGUGAUAGAGACCUUGGAGAUCCUUUCUCUCUUCCUUUGCUCUUGCACUAAACCAGGGUCUGCCUUGGGCUCUGGGCCCUGACUGGGGGAGGCAGUUUCCAAAAGCAGCACAAAGGAGUUUUAUUUGUUCUUUGCUUACCACUUUCUCUGACCUCCAGUGCUGUGCUGGGAGCAGGAUCUGUACCAGGCAGGAUGUAGGCCCCAGAGGGUCAUGGAAGAGAGCCACUGUCAUCUGAGGUGAUUUUUAACACUAAACUGUGUGAUUCACUUUGCUGACACCACCACUCCUUGCUGCAGAGCAGAACCCUUCACACCAGAGCAGACUCAUGUGCCAUCCCUGGGCUGAGUCCUGAUUGCCCUCCCCUCAACCAGGUACAGCUUCAUCCUGCCCCUCUUCUUCAGACUUACUUACUGGUGAAUGGCUUAAGAAGAUGUACCCCUGCUUCCCAUCCCCAUGCUGAUGGCUGUGAGACUGGGCCCUGUCCUUGCCUCACUGCUGUGUAAUGGGACUGAUAGUCCUGAGAGCACAUGGAAGGCUCCUGGGGGCACCAAAGUACACAGACUCCCGGGGCAGGAGCACCAAAAAGCAGGUUGAAAGCUCUGGGGCACCCCAAAAAAGCACACCAAGGCCCUUAAGGACACUGGAAAAGAAACAGAGGGGCUCCAGGGGUACCCGAAACCACCCUGAGGAGCACUGUUGGAGAAGGACAAACAGAGCAGUGCUGGUUUCCCUCUCAGAUCUCCAACUAGCUAGGAAACCACAAAAGCAACCCAAAAGGUUGGGAAAACCAAAGGUGAGACACGGAUUCCAAGGACUGAAAAGCAGACAGAGGGCUUUGAGGUACCUUGGUAGCACCAGCAAGCAUAUACAGGGGUGUGGGGGGCAAAAUAAAUGGACCAAAGACUCUGGGGACACUGGAGGGGCACCAAAACCAAAUCAAUUGCUUAUGUAAGUGACCUGAUUCAUUUUUCUCAGCAGAAGGAGUCCUGUGUCUGUCCUCUUGCCUCUGUGUGCUGGCAUCCAGGCUUCAGAUGAAUUUCAUGGUCUGUAAUCAUCCCGGGAGAAUUUCCCUCUUGUUCAUCCUACGGAAGAGAAACUCUCCCAUUUCCACUUGGAUCUUACAAUAGCUUGUCAGUGACAAAACAUUCCCAAAUCCUCUCAUUUAUCAAAUGGCCAAUCCUGUUAACAGCUUAAGAAACAUAAUUACCUGCAAUCUCUUCUGCUAUUCAUUUUAUGCCUACACUUCCCUCUCUCUGGCAGCUUCCCAGCAGGCAAGUCAAGAGCUGAAGCAUGGCUGCAGCUACCAAGUGCUUGAGCAAUGCAAUUUCCUCUAAUCACCUGCACAAUGAUAGCAGGAGUUUUGCUUCCCUGUUUGUAGCAGCAAGGAGCAGGUGAGGAAGGCAGGCAUAGAGCCAAAAGCAUCAGCUGACAGUUGUGGUGUAUCUACAGCUUGUGAGAGACUUUGGCUCAACUCUCAGGGAGGAUUUACAAGAGCAGUGCUUUCAGGCUGGAGAUCUGCUGGCUUCCUGAAUGUUGGGUAUGUACAGGACAGCUUGAUCCAAAGAGAAACCCAUAGGACCACCGUAGCCUACCCUAGACCUGGGAAUUAGAAAAUUCCUAGCUCUGUUCUAUCCAUGCUGGCUGCUGAGGAAGCUGCCUUUGUGCCUUAAAAUCUUGUACUAGCCUGACAUUAUCACUGUGCAUUUAACUGGCCAAGGCAUGCUUCAGCCUACAGUCUCCAGUUAGACCUGCCUUCUGUGUGGAAGGGUUUUUCUUACACCUACUCUACUCCUCUUUUCAACCCUGUCAGCUAUUUUGGAUCCUUAGGGGUUGGGAUAAAUGAGGUGCGUUUCUUCCGACACCUUCCAGUGUUAUUUUUAAGCAAUUUUUUAUGCUGCUUGCCAACACUUUAUCCUUACAGUUCUUUGAAUGUUGUAUUAAAAACCCCUAUGAACAAGCUGUAUACAAAUCAGAAGUUUGGUGUUUUGUUUUGUUUUAAAUCAGACAUCAUCUUAAGAGAUUUGGAACUUUUUGAUCUUCCUAAGAUACUGAAUACGAGUAUAUUUUGGUCACUAUCGUAGAAUAACCCUUUCUUUAACAGCAGUUUGAACCUCAAAUGCCAGUUUUUGCAACUACUUUUCCCAAUGGAAAUAGUUUAAUUCACUUCUCAAAAUACAGGCACUUACAUUGAUGAAAUUUCAGUGUAACCCAUAUGCCACCCAGACCAAGACACCAAAGAACUUUGAUGGCUCUGGGCUACAUGCCCAGAGCUGUGUGCUGCUUGGGAACAGCAAGGACUCGGAUAUAGAAUCAUAGAAUCCCAGACUGGUUUGAGUUGAAGGAACCCUAAAGCUCAUUCAGCUCCAACCCCUGCCAUGGGCAGGGACACCUUCCACUAGAGCAGCUUGCUCCAAGCCCCGUCCAACCUGGCCUUGGUACGAGACUGUGUGAGUGCUGAGGAGGGACUGAAGUAAGCUGUUUUCUUGUGUUUAACAAGAUAUAAUAUAUACAUAAGGAAAGUAAGGACUGCAAAUGAAGAAACUGUACCUAAAAGAAAAUGAAGACUGCUCCAGUAAAAUAUAAAAUGGGACAGACAUGCUUUUAUACAAGAA
Molecule: long non-coding RNA, 11098 nt
Organism: Pezoporus occidentalis (night parrot)
Lineage: Eukaryota; Metazoa; Chordata; Aves; Psittaciformes; Psittacidae
Exons: 12
Source: RefSeq, a predicted model, not a curated record